ACUUGCUGAAUUUAAUCCAAACAGAAUACAGAACAAACUGAAAGAAGUUUUUUCUGCCAUCACACUCGUAGAACAGUAUAAAGAAUUCAGCUAUCUGUACUUUUUUGUAUGUGUGCAAUGUCAUCAAGUCUCAGUCUAGCAUUCAGGUCCUGAUAGAUAAGGAAAAAAGGGAUGAUUUUCAAAUAUGUUGUUUUGGAAAGUAUUUAUUUGUAACUUCUAAGUCUAUCCAUGUAUUUUGUGACAGUCAGAUCCCUGAUGUGGUACUGCUCUCUGAGGGAGUGCGAUAUAUGGAGGGGAUCUGCACAGGAAGUAGGUAUCUCUUGAAUGGGGUGCCUUGAAGCACAACUGCAAGCAUCAUGGAGGAGAGAGAUUGUUCCUCUUCUGGUCUUCUGCAGAGAUCACUAGGGAAUAGCUUUGCUAUCUGGCUUGUCCACUGGUUCCCAAGUUUGGGCCUAAAUGAUUUAAGCUCUUAAAUAGUGUUAUCUAAACCUAUUUAUUAAAAAAAGUCCAUCUCUUACAUUUUUACUUCCGUUAGGGCUGGGCAAUAAAUUCUUAACAAAACUCCUGUAAGGUGGUGGAUUUAAAGCAAACUACCUUUCCUCAUCCCAAUUCUAGGACCCCUGAUAUCAUAGUGGUGAGUACAAUAUAAGAAUAAGAAUAUGAAUAAGAAACUGAAUAACAGUUGUAUUAUGCUAUUUCUUUUAGUAUGAAAAUCAUUUUUCCAUGGAUUUCUGGGAGAGGUUCCACUUUCCCUUUCACUUCCCAUUGCUUUCAUUUGAGAUAUAAAUUAAGGUCUGUCCCUAGAAUCUAAGACAUUUUUAGGGCUCAAUUGUGAGCCUACUGGCACGCUGAAGCAGAGAAAUGCAGACCUGGGAGUCCAGACUUUGCAAGCACUUAACGAAGCUCUCCAGGAGGCCUUGGUUGGACCCAGUGCCUUUCUCCUCCCCACCAUGUUGACUGCAUCCUCCGAGUAGUGCCCCUCAGGCACCGAUGGAACGCUCCAGCAGGCUCAAGGCCUCAUAUAAAAAGAGGCACCAUGAGGGUAAGGAGAAGCACCCUCACAAGAAGACAGACA
Molecule: long non-coding RNA, 1075 nt
Organism: Chelonia mydas (Green sea turtle)
Lineage: Eukaryota; Metazoa; Chordata; Testudines; Cheloniidae
Exons: 3
Source: RefSeq, a predicted model, not a curated record